UGCUAUACAUGCAAGUCGAGCGAAUGGAUUAAGAGCUUGCUCUUAUGAAGUUAGCGGCGGACGGGUGAGUAACACGUGGGUAACCUGCCCAUAAGACUGGGAUAACUCCGGGAAACCGGGGCUAAUACCGGAUAACAUUUUGAACCGCAUGGUUCGAAAUUGAAAGGCGGCUUCGGCUGUCACUUAUGGAUGGACCCGCGUCGCAUUAGCUAGUUGGUGAGGUAACGGCUCACCAAGGCAACGAUGCGUAGCCGACCUGAGAGGGUGAUCGGCCA
This 275-nucleotide ribosomal RNA is filed under the name Bacillus cereus. RNAcentral's name for it is "partial 16S ribosomal RNA". It matches the Rfam family "Bacterial small subunit ribosomal RNA", at positions 50 to 310 of the family's 1533-position model. Lineage: Bacteria; Bacillati; Bacillota; Bacilli; Caryophanales; Bacillaceae. The record is from RNAcentral.